AUCAGUAUACCAGACAAACCAACAGUAAACAGCAAAAGUUAAUCUGUACAGUCAAACACAAGUUAAUGCACACAAGUGCAAGCCAUGAGCUCAAACUCAAGCAUCAAACCCUACAACACAAAGUCAAUGUUAAUCAUAAACAAUUCACAAGUCAACUUAAUUAACUUGCAUUUUUCUCCUUAAGCCAUUUGCAUCUCAACCUGAAAAUCCAAACCAAACAUGAGAAACAAGACCACUAGGCCAAGCCUAGGGUCCAAAGGAGAUGAAAAAAUC
RNAcentral lists this long non-coding RNA (273 nucleotides) under Lathyrus oleraceus (garden pea). Its description in RNAcentral is "Pisum sativum (pea) long non-coding RNA (PSAT_LNC040156)". The record is from RNAcentral. Lineage: Eukaryota; Viridiplantae; Streptophyta; Magnoliopsida; Fabales; Fabaceae.